UUAAAGAGUGUUUUGUUUUUACUAAUUUAUGUUCUUAAGUGUUCAGUUCAGUUUCAGAUUUUGGGUUUAUGUAAAAAGGUAAAGACUUUUAUUUUGGUAAAUGCUGCUGUUGCAUUCAUGCUGUUGUUUCACUCAUGCGGUUUCUGUUUACGCGCAAAAGAGAAACAGUUGGAGGGAAAAGACGGUGGUAGACAGAUAGCUGCUGGAAGGUUCUCAAACGCUCUUACGGUGAAUUCUGGAAUUAAAGACAAUAAAUCUCCAUGAAUCAUCAGUUUUCGAGUUUUGACCAUUAAUCAGCUGGGUUCGCUACACUACUGAAACAUUACAGAUUGUGUCAUUACCAAGGGCGCUCCUGGCCAUUGCCGUGUUUGUAUCCUGACUCUGCUUACCUGGAAAACCAGUUUAUUUAUUGAUGCUAAUUAUACUUUUGCUGGAGUGGCACAGGUUUAUGGCUUAAAAUACAUGUCUGUUGUGAAAGUAAAAUAAAUAUUUAAAGAAUU
Molecule: long non-coding RNA, 500 nt
Organism: Trichomycterus rosablanca
Lineage: Eukaryota; Metazoa; Chordata; Actinopteri; Siluriformes; Trichomycteridae
Exons: 2
Source: RefSeq, a predicted model, not a curated record